CCACAAAAAGUCAAACUGGUAAUAGAAGUUAACGCGUUAAAUGUCUGUUGAGCGGCGUAAGGGAGGGACAUUCCCAAGAUUGGAUUCCUGAGUUCGUCUCGCCGCUGUUCAUUUCUGUAAUCGGAGCUUCUCCGGGGAAAACAAGGAGGAGGCCUCAGCAGCCACCCACGCGGCGGCCACGCUGUUCGGAUUUUGAGCAAAAAACUGGUCAGAAAAGUGAAAGCAUCGAUCAGGUUAGACUUCAGAUUGAAAGACAAACAAUUAUACAAAGUUAUGUGAUUUUCUUGUGCUUGGUGGUGGUGUUGUAAUCAUGGCGCUGUCCUUAGUCGGAGGGGCGGCCAUAGGAGCGCUGUUCGGAGCGUUGUAUGAUGUCGUUAAGAUAUCGAUAGGCAAGACUGCUAUGCAGUAUAAACCCCUCCUCAGAGAACUUAAAUUCACGUUAGACUCCCUAAGGCCGCGGAUCAUCCAACAGAUAGGAGAACAUAACGUGGAAUUGGGUAUUUCGAACGAAGAUAUAGUGAGCCUGCAAAGACAAAUGGAGGAGGGUACAGAGCUCGUUAGGAUGUUAUCGAACCGUGGCACGUGGAGCUGCUACAUCUUGUGCAGCUGCUGCAACUGCAAUAAGCCGAGUUAUGCGGAACAACUUGUUGAACUGGAUAGGUCUCUUAGAAUAUUGUUGGAGAUACUGAAGCUGCAGGAAGCGCGGGAUGUGAAGGAGGUCUUGGUUUUGGCUAGGAAGAUCAAUGACAAACAAGAUGAAUUGGAAAGGAGACUGGCCGAUUUGCUCAAAGUGCAGCAAGAAUCGGGGGACGGGGGAGAGUCUUCGGGAAGUGGUGCAGAGACAACACCAAAUGAACAAAAUGGAGAGAAUGGUGGACAACAAGUGGCACCGUCAGGUGGAGGAGUAGGGGCUGCUGCUCUAGGAGCGGCAUUUGGGGUGUUGUUUGACACUGUUAUGCAAGUGAAGGACAAGACUACCAUGCUUAAACGCCCCCUCGGAGAUCUCAAAUCAACGCUAGAUUCCGUAAAGCCGUUGAUAGAAGAGGUGGCAGAAUGUAGCAAGGUAUUGAAUCUCCCAAAUGAGGAAUUAGAAGAUGUUAGAAUACAAAUGGAGAAGGGUGCAGAGCUUGUGAGCAAUUGCUCAAAGAUUCGUCACUGGACUACCUAUAAAAUGUAUGAGUAUACCAACAAACUUCUUGGAUUGGACGAAUCGCUUCAAAGAUUGUUAACUGUGCUAAGAUUGCAGUUAGCAAGGGAUGUGAGGGAGACCCUGGUUUCCGUAAGCAAUAUAGAGGCGGUGAUCAAUCAAAUUGAAGGGAGUGGUGUGGUUAAAUUACAAAAUGAGCAAAAUGAAGCUAAAGGUUCAUGUGAAGCGCCCGCAGCCAUGGGUAAGAGUGCAGUUGGAUUGAAUGCACUAAGUGUGGAGGGAACAAGGGACGUGACUGAGACAUUGGAUCCGGAAGCGAAUAUAAAGGUAGGGUGGCAGAAAGUUGAAGAGAGUUGGGUGGCACGAAGUAAAACUGAACAUCCAUCACGUACAGUUGGACUGGAUGCAAUGAACAUGCAGGUGGGAGCAAGGAGUAUGGAGGAGACCUCUGUAAGUGAUGUAGAGCCGGGGCUCAAGCGAAUUCAGCGCAAAGAAGUAUCCAAACUUGAUGCGCCAUUUAGGGUAUUGGGGAAGGAUGUUCUUAAGGAUGAGGAAAAUGAGGAACUUGAUGAGCAAGUGGAAGAUCAUCAUGACAGGAAGAAGAAAGGAGAUGAGUCUGUGACCGGUGCAAGUGGAGAUGGGAUGGCGAUUUGUAAAGCUGAUGGGUGUGCAGCCGAUCUGAGUGAUGCAAAGGCGUAUAAUAGAAGGCAUAGGGUGUGUGAACUUCAUUCGAAGGCUCCACUUGUGAUUGUGUCUGGUCUAAAGAGAAGGUUUUGCCAUAAUUGCAGCAGAUUUCAUGAUCUAUCAGAAUUCGAUGACACCAAACAAAGUUGUCGUAGGCAUUUGCCCUACAUUGAACGCGAUGGUACAGGCACUCAGUUAAAGGACGUAAGUGGUGAUAUAGAUACGGUGAUCAGUCAAACUGAAAGGAGUGGUGCGGUACAAUCACAAAACGACCAAAGUGAAAUUAAAGGUUCAUAUGAAGUGGUGGAAGCCACACCACCAGCAGUUGGAUUGAAUGUACCGAGUGUGCAGGGAACAAGGGAUUCAAGGGAAACGUUGCAGACCUCAGUGUGCAGGGAACAAGGGAUUCAUACAGAGCUAGGACUCAAGCAAAUUCAGGGGAAAGAUGUGUUUGAUUCUGAACCUCCAUACGCUGAAUACAAGGAAACUGAAUACGUACCUCCAUCAGUUACAAUUGACAUGAAUGUGCUUUUGAGAGGAUUGAAGAGGUUUCUUCUUAAUGAAGAGGUGUCAGCGGUUGUGCUAACGGGUCCUGGGGGAAGCGGGAAAACCACAUUAGCAAAAUUCUUCUGUGAAGAUGAGGAAGUCAAAAAUAUAUUCAAGAACAACGUCUUCUUUGUUCAUGUUUCAGAAAAUCCUAACUUGAGCCUUAUGGUACAAACACUAUAUCAACAGAUGGGUUUCCAGAUACCUGCGUUGCAAAACGAAUCAAUUGCACUUCACUGGUUGCACCAAUUUCUCAUGGAAACAGCACUGCACCCAUCAGUGUUGGUCUUGGAUGAUGUUUGGCCUGGAUCAGAAUCCCUUCUUGACAAGUUUGAUGAAUUCAAAACACCAAAUUACAAGAUUAUGGUGACAUCAAGGUUUGAAUUUCCGGCAUUUGGUUUUCCAUAUUAUCUGAAACCACUGAAUGCUGAAGAUGAGAUGACUCUUUCUCAUCAUUCCCGCGCACACAACAUAGAAUUACUGGAUGAUGAAGACCUGAUAUGUGUUUCUCCACCACCCAUCACAUUUGAUGAUGAAGACCCGAUAACUCAUUUUCCUGAUUCCUCCGCAUCCUACUUGGGAGACGGAAGCUCUCAUGUUUCAACAGCUAUAAGGCCAAUGGAUCAAUUUCAUGAUUCCUCCGCAUCAACCUUGGGAGAUAAAAGCUCGUAUGUUCCAAAAGAUGCAGGGACAAUGUUUGAGCCCGACAACCCCGUCAAGUCUAAGCAGACAUAUAUGCAGCAGAAGUUGGAACUGAAGGUGAGUGCCAGUGACAAAGCAAUGAAGAAAGUCAUGAAAGCUGUCCACGCCAUAAAGGGGGUUCAUUCGACCAGUUGGGACGCGGAGAACCAGAGGCUAACAGUGAUGGGGCAGUUGGAUCCGGCGCUAAUAGCUACUAGGUUGAGAAAGAUUGCUUCGAAAACAGAGGUAAUAUCAGUUGGGCCAGCGAAGGAAGAGAUCAAAGAAGACAAGAAAGAUAAAUUGACCGAGAGAAAAGGCGAUAAGAAAGCUAGAAAUCUCACUAUGAAAGAGAAAAUGGAAGACAAGAACCAAGAAAAGAAAGAGCGAAGUCUUACCGUGAAAGAGAAAAUGGAGUUCGAUAAAAGAGAUGAGGAAGAGAGACUUCUAGAUGAGAAAGAGAGAGUCAUUACACCCAGGUGACACAGCCGUAAGAAAUCUCUCUUCCGGCUCCUCCGGUGGCUGUCCUUGUAUUUUGUUUGUAAUCUGUAAAACGAUAAAAGGGAAUUAAAGAAGCAAUCAUCCAAGAACUCUGCUUCAGAUGCCAACGAUAUCAAGGGUGAAGAUCAGAUAAACGUACAUUUUUCGAUCAAUGCUGUAAAUGUUUCAGAUAGCAAAACAGAAAACAGGUUUUGGUACAUCCAUUUGCUUUAAGGUUUAUAUACGCCGCGAUCAUCUAUACGGUGCUGUGAACUACCUUGUUUCUUGGAAAUGAAAAAUUCGAGAAUCUGGCACAUUGCCGAUUGCAUAAAUCGCCCAAAACAACCUUACUCUAGCACUACAAACAUAUUCUCUAGCAUUUCAUCUUCGAUUUGCCCGUCAGGGAUGGGAGAUGCGCGGCAACCAUGUCAAGAAGAAAGCAGAGCUUGCCGAGAAACCAACCAGCCCAAUGUUAAAGGAUUAGUACUGGCUUCAUCAGCUGACUUGAAAUCGAAGCUUAGAGAAUCAGGUAACUUUGAUCCCCACCUCCAGGCGAAAGUACUGAAAGUGGUUGAUGUUUCUUAUGGAGGAGAGGAUGGUUUCAAUCAGGCUGUUAAGUUGUCGGCGGAGUUUCUGUCCAACGUGAAAUUUAUACAGGAGCACAACUUGCUAGGAAGACACCUUGAAGAGGUUAACCAUGGGCGUAGAUGACACGCUAAAGGCUUUGGAGAUGGGAGCGAUUAACACACUUAUUGUGAGGGAAAAUCUUGACAGCAAUAGGUAUGUGUUAAAAGAACUCGAAGGCCGAUGAGAUUGUUGUAAAACAUUGCGACUUUCGAUAUCUUGGCAGCCAAGGAGAUCUAGAGGUUCAGGAGAGGAUCUCACUGCUGAAAUGGUCUGUUGACGAGCACAAGCGUUUUGGUUGUGAUCUUAAGUUUGUCACCAACAAAUCACACGAGGGUCGCAGUUCUGUCAAGGUUUGGAGGCAUUGGAGGGUUACCGAAUGAGUAUUUCUAGCCAGCUUACUGAAUGAAUUAUUCACAUCUUAUUCAAAUUAGUAAUAUGCCAGUUCCAGAUACAAUAUUCACACAACAGACACAAGGAAUCCACAACGAACAACAACAAUUGAAAUCUUCAAUUGUUAAGAAUUUGACAAGCUAAAUACAAGCAC
Non-coding RNA from Malus domestica (apple), 4706 nucleotides. The record is from RefSeq and is a predicted model, not a curated record. NCBI's taxonomy places the organism in Eukaryota, Viridiplantae, Streptophyta, Magnoliopsida, Rosales, Rosaceae.